Long non-coding RNA from Raphanus sativus (radish), 605 nucleotides. RefSeq lists it as uncharacterized. Lineage: Eukaryota; Viridiplantae; Streptophyta; Magnoliopsida; Brassicales; Brassicaceae. The record is from RefSeq and is a predicted model, not a curated record. The transcript is spliced from 3 exons.
CAGCGAAGAAGAGAGAGAAAGAGACUAGUGUAAGAGAGAGAGAGGGGAAGCACAGUAAAUCAGGGGUAUUUUUUUUUUUUUUCCUCUGCUAAUAAAGGGAAGUUUUGAGUUCUGUAGUCAUUGUCAAAUGUCAAGGGAAGUUGCUUGCUAAGCAUAUUCUCCCGCUUGACCCAUCGAAGGACUCUGGUCAAGUGAAACGGGCAAAAGCUGAGGUGGAGACUAAGACAGAGACUGAGACUGAGACCACAGACCCUGUUAGUUCAACUUCAACUGUUGCGUUAUCUUGGAUGUUAAGGCAUUUCAGCUGUGGGGUUAAUGAGAUGCUUAGACGCCGUGUGUAGAAAUCCGAGAAGGAAGAAAAGACCAUUUUUCACUUUUAACUUCCUUUAAAGCUAUGUUCAUGUUCUGCUUCUUUGUUUAUUAGUUGAUUGUGUAUCAAAAUGGCUUAGGUUCAUAUUGUAUUUAAGGCGUAGAUGUUUUGUACUUGAGGCCAAUUACCCAUGAAUGUUUUAGGAAAAAGGUAAAAAAGAUAACAUGUGUCUAACUAUGUUUUACCGUUUAAAAAUAUUUGCAUCUUACCAAUGUGUGUAAGCUAUGACUCUGAU